Molecule: transfer RNA, 71 nt
Filed under: Marmota monax (woodchuck)
Lineage: Eukaryota; Metazoa; Chordata; Mammalia; Rodentia; Sciuridae
Description: tRNA.Ser
Rfam family: tRNA
About the family: Transfer RNA (tRNA) molecules are approximately 80 nucleotides in length. Their secondary structure includes four short double-helical elements and three loops (D, anti-codon, and T loops).
Source: RNAcentral
GGGGCUGUAGCUCAGUGGUAAAGUGCUUGCCUCGAACGUAUGAGGAACUGGGUUCAAUCCUCAGCACCACA